Molecule: ribosomal RNA, 483 nt
Filed under: uncultured bacterium
Lineage: Bacteria
Description: bacterial SSU rRNA
Rfam family: Bacterial small subunit ribosomal RNA
Source: RNAcentral
GACGAACGCUGGCGGCGUGCUUAACACAUGCAAGUCGAACGGAAAGGCCCUGCUUGCAGGGUACUCGAGUGGCGAACGGGUGAGUAACACGUGGGUGAUCUGCCCUGCACUUCGGGAUAAGCCUGGGAAACUGGGUCUAAUACCGGAUAGGACCAUCGUUUAGUGUCGGUGGUGGAAAGUUUUUCGGUGCAGGAUGAGCUCGCGGCCUAUCAGCUUGUUGGUGGGGUAAUGGCCUACCAAGGCGUCGACGGGUAGCCGGCCUGAGAGGGUGGACGGCCACAUUGGGACUGAGACACGGCCCAGACUCCUACGGGAGGCAGCAGUGGGGAAUAUUGCACAAUGGGCGCAAGCCUGAUGCAGCGACGCCGCGUGGGGGAUGAAGGCCUUCGGGUUGUAAACUCCUUUCAACCAUGACGAAGCAUUAUGUGACGGUAGUGGUAGAAGAAGCACCGGCUAACUACGUGCCAGCCGCCGCCGUAACAC